GCGGAAGGAUUAUUUCAGGAAAAUUUUGUUUUUAGUAUGUGACUCAUGAUUUUUAUUUUAUUUUUCAUUUUCUAUUUAUUAAUUUAUUUAUUAUUUAUUUUUGUUUAUAUGUUUUUCAUUUUCAUUUUCUAUCACCGCAUAUGACCAAGAAUCACCGUGCACCGUUGCUGACAGCUACUGCAAACAGUUAUCCCCACCACCUGCCAACCGCCUGAGCGGA
RNAcentral lists this long non-coding RNA (220 nucleotides) under Vigna radiata. Its description in RNAcentral is "long non-coding RNA (VRAD_LNC009206)". Lineage: Eukaryota; Viridiplantae; Streptophyta; Magnoliopsida; Fabales; Fabaceae. The record is from RNAcentral.